Molecule: ribosomal RNA, 273 nt
Filed under: uncultured Pseudomonas sp.
Lineage: Bacteria; Pseudomonadati; Pseudomonadota; Gammaproteobacteria; Pseudomonadales; Pseudomonadaceae
Description: partial 16S ribosomal RNA
Rfam family: Bacterial small subunit ribosomal RNA
Source: RNAcentral
UACAGAGGGUGCAAGCGUUAAUCGGAAUUACUGGGCGUAAAGCGCGCGUAGGUGGUUCGUUAAGUUGGAUGUGAAAUCCCCGGGCUCAACCUGGGAACUGCAUUCAAAACUGACGAGCUAGAGUAUGGUAGAGGGUGGUGGAAUUUCCUGUGUAGCGGUGAAAUGCGUAGAUAUAGGAAGGAACACCAGUGGCGAAGGCGACCACCUGGACUGAUACUGACACUGAGGUGCGAAAGCGUGGGGAGCAAACAGGAUUAGAAACCCCAGUAGUCC